AAGUCGUAACAAGGUUUCCGUAGGUGAACCUGCGGAAGGAUCAUUAACAAAUCCAUGGCCUCCCCCGGGGGGCUGUAUGUUCCGGUGCUGAGCGCUGUGGCGCGAGGUGCCGUGUUCAAACGUGCUCUGCACAAGUAUGUAAGUCGGACUGAAACAACAUGGUGGGAACAAUAACAAACAACUUUUAACAAUGGAUCUCUAGGCUCUU
Molecule: unclassified non-coding RNA, 208 nt
Filed under: fungal sp.
Lineage: Eukaryota; Fungi
Description: partial internal transcribed spacer region
Rfam family: Eukaryotic small subunit ribosomal RNA (bases 1-46)
Source: RNAcentral